AUGCACGCGAUAAAUGUGGCAAAUGAUGAUUACAUGUAUGCGUCACAAGAAUAUGAAACCCAAUAUGAUGAUGACAAUCUUGAUGUGGACGAUGAGGGCUUUGUUGUCAAGGGAAGAAGUGGAAAUUAUACCACCGCGGAGGAUGUGUUGAUAUGCACUGCUUGGAAGAAAAUCUCUCAAGAUGCAAGCGUUGGAAGCGACCAAACGGUGAACACCUAUUGGCAACGCAUCAAGGAGUACUUCGAUGAGCGCAACACAAGUGGUCACUUCCGUUCAAGCGACUCUCUACGCCAACGUUGGUCCACCAUCAACGCCGAAUGCCAAAAGUGGGCCGGUUGCUUGUCAAACGUUGCUCGCAUGAACCCAAGUGGUUGCGGUGAUAGUGACUUGAGGAACAUGAAAGGCGAGAAGAAGAAAAGGAAAGGAAAAGCUUUCACUUUUCAUCAUUGCUACAAAGAGCUCAAGGAUGAGGAGAAGUGGAAAACUAGAGAGACUUUUGAAUCGUCGAAGAAGAAGAGUGUGGUGCUUGAGGAUGAAGAAGAUGUCGCCAUUGAGGAGACGAGCCCCACUCCUCACUCCGCGACAAAAUCUUAUAGGCCCGAUGGAAACAAGAAAGCGAAGGGAACCAGGGCCGGAGACAAUGAUCUCAAGGAAGGAUUUGAUGCCAUUGUCAUGGCGAGGAAAGAGUAUGCCGAAGAGAAAAGAAUCUUGAAGCUCAAGGAAAUAGAGGAGAGGAGUGAGGCCGAGCGGCGAAGGGCGGCGGCCGAGGAGAAGAGGGCGGCGACCGAGGAGAGGAAGGUGGACCUAGAGGAGAAGAAGGCCGCGGCCGACUAG
This 834-nucleotide ribosomal RNA is filed under the name Triticum aestivum (bread wheat). RNAcentral describes it as "partial small subunit ribosomal RNA". The record is from RNAcentral. Lineage: Eukaryota; Viridiplantae; Streptophyta; Magnoliopsida; Poales; Poaceae.